RNAcentral lists this long non-coding RNA (307 nucleotides) under Spirodela polyrhiza (greater duckweed). Its description in RNAcentral is "long non-coding RNA (SPOL_LNC000515)". The record is from RNAcentral. Lineage: Eukaryota; Viridiplantae; Streptophyta; Magnoliopsida; Alismatales; Araceae.
AGGUACUGUCGCACCAAGUGAAAAUGGUGGCCUUGUUCUUCUUGUGGGCCCCAAACUUCUUGAUCUUCCUAUUUCUUUAAUCUUCUUUCAUGAUCUUCUUUCUAUUCUGCUUCAGAGUUCUACCAAUUGAUAUCAAGGUGAGACUUGAUGAUGCCCAAAACUAAGACGGAAGAGAAUCAAGAGGGUCAAGGAGAUAGAAGAGAGUCAAAUAUAAAGAUUACCAGAGAUAGAGGUGGAAAUAUAGAGGUUACCGAAAAUUGAAGCUAAUUUGAGGAGGUUAUUAAUGAUAGAAAUAUAUAGAGAGAAU